RNAcentral lists this ribosomal RNA (468 nucleotides) under uncultured bacterium. RNAcentral's name for it is "partial 16S ribosomal RNA". It matches the Rfam family "Bacterial small subunit ribosomal RNA", at positions 28 to 507 of the family's 1533-position model. The record is from RNAcentral.
GACGAACGCUGGCGGCGUGCUUAACACAUGCAAGUCGAACGGAAAGGCCCUGCUUUUGUGGGGUGCUCGAGUGGCGAACGGGUGAGUAACACGCGAGUAACCUGCCCUUGACUUUGGGAUAACUUCAGGAAACUGGGGCUAAUACCGGAUAGGAGCUCCUGCUGCAUGGGGGGGGUUGGAAAGUGUCGGCGGUUGGGGAUGGACUCGCGGCUUAUCAGCUUGUUGGGGGGGUAGUGGCUUACCAAGGCUUUGACGGGUAGCCGGCCUGAGAGGGUGACCGGCCACAUUGGGACUGAGAUACGGCCCAGACUCCUACGGGAGGCAGCAGUGGGGAAUAUUGCACAAUGGCCGGAAGCCUGAUGCAGCAACGCCGCGUGCGGGAUGACGGCCUUCGGGUUGUAAACCGCUUUCGCCUGUGACGAAGCGUGAGUGACGGUAAUGGGUAAAGAAGCACCGGCUAACUACGUG